Molecule: ribosomal RNA, 503 nt
Filed under: uncultured bacterium
Lineage: Bacteria
Description: partial 16S ribosomal RNA
Rfam family: Bacterial small subunit ribosomal RNA
Source: RNAcentral
AUUGAACGCUGGCGGCAGGCUUAACACAUGCAAGUCGAGCGGGCGAGGUUGCUUCGGUAACUGAGCUAGCGGCGGACGGGUGAGUAAAGCUUAGGAAUCUGCCUAUUAGUGGGGGACAACAUUCCGAAAGGGAUGCUAAUACCGCAUACGUCCUACGGGAGAAAGCAGGGGAUCACUUGUGACCUUGUGCUAAUAGAUGAGCCUAAGUCGGAUUAGCUAGUUGGUGGGGUAAAGGCCUACCAAGGCGACGAUCUGUAGCGGGUCUGAGAGGAUGAUCCGCCACACUGGGACUGAGACACGGCCCAGACUCCUACGGGAGGCAGCAGUGGGGAAUAUUGGACAAUGGGGGGAACCCUGAUCCAGCCAUGCCGCGUGUGUGAAGAAGGCCUUUUGGUUGUAAAGCACUUUAAGCGAGGAGGAGGCUACCUAGAUUAAUACUCUUGGAUAGUGGACGUUACUCGCAGAAUAAGCACCGGCUAACUCUGUGCCAGCCGCCGCCGUAA